Molecule: long non-coding RNA, 4344 nt
Organism: Numida meleagris (helmeted guineafowl)
Lineage: Eukaryota; Metazoa; Chordata; Aves; Galliformes; Numididae
Exons: 2
Source: RefSeq, a predicted model, not a curated record
UAAACUACCAAAGGAGUGCUAUGACUGAGAAGAGCAGAAAAGCAAGAGCUCAGUUUUAUUUUCCAAAAAUACAAUUUUUUUUUUCUUUAAAAAAAAGCUUUAAAGUCCCAUGUUUCUAAAUGCUCUUCCCAGAGGUCAACAAUCUAAAUAAUAGCCACAGUUUACCUCUUGCAAAUACAGCUCAGCUGUACUAAAGCUCUCCUUUGUGCAGAAAUCUGAGAAAGGACAGAUGAGAUGUGCUGAAGCCAUUGUGGCAACAGUUAAGACAGAGCCUACUCAUCAAAAUAAGAAUGAGUUCAGCAUAGUUUGCAAAGAAGGUGGAGUGACAAAAGAACAGAACAGACAAAACAUGGCUUUCAUUUAUUGAAUUGGGUCUCAUCUUGAAGAAGGAUGGUUUCUUCCAUAGUGUGAAAAAUGCCUACACAAAAUGAUGUAAAACAGAUCUUUUUAGACACUCCACAACCUGCAAAACUUGUACCAAAUUCAGCUUGCCUGACCCAUUUUAGGUCUCUAAUGUGACAGCCAGGCAGAGCUAAGCCAGAUUCUUAGCAAACAGAAAUCAGAAAGAUGUCCGGGACAGAGCAAGAAUACAGCAGAGAAUGAAAAGGCAGUCUGAAGGAAGAGAGAGGCUCGAAUUUCACGAUGCAAAUAUAAGAGGAUUUGCUGUAAUUUCUACAAAGGAGGGUGUAAUUUGGUAUUUCAUUUGAUGUCAAGAUGAUCAAAUAAUAGCCGUGAUGAGAAAGACCAUUUCUUUCCAUUCAGUCCUUUUUUCAGCAUCCUAUUUCUUAGCCCACAGAAUGUUUUAUUUUAGAAAUAAUAUGACAGCUGUGAUGGGUGGGAGAACUCAUGCAUCUGUAAGGCAGCGUGCCCAUUGGGACUCAUUCGCACACAUCACUUCUGUUAAUUUCUGGGUUUGUUCUUUUGUCACCGGGUAAUACCAGAAAGAUUCACUCCUUUUUUUUCCUCUCUCCUGUCUUUGAGAAAAACAUGAAGAGAAAGCAAAGUAGGGCAGGCACAACCUGAGUUAUCUUGAGCUUAUUUACUUGAAAGGUGAGUUUAAAAGCUACCUCAGAAUUAACAGCAUCCUCCUCCCCAUUUGAGACAAACCCUAGAGCUGUGUCUGUAGUGACGCAUCCAGUUUGUCUACUGUUGCAAUCAAUGAUAAAUACAUAUCCUCACCACAGAAACAGAUUACUGUGUCACACAUAUACAUCCCAAAAAAUGCUACCUGAGUUGUAGCAGGCGUCACCCACAGCAUUUUUGCCCACAUGCUAAGCCAGUUGCUCAAAAGCUUUGAUUGGGUUGGAUGAGAAAGAGAAAUCCUACGUAUCAGAGUUUGCUGCUUUUCCUUAGAGCUCAAAAAAUCCAGAAUACAUGCACAGAGGAGAAAAUUGUAGAUAUUUAAUUAAAAAAAAACACUUUCCAGAUUAAUAGUUGUGUUUUAAAAAAAAAAAAAAAAAGAUGUAUGUGGAAAUAGCUUUGGUACAGGUCAGUAAUUAUUAAAGGGCUAACUACAGGUAACUUAUUUUCCUGUAAGAUGCUUUGUUUUACAGGAAUCAAUUGCAUCCAGAGUUUCUGAAUAUUUUUACAAUGCAAUAAUUCUUGUAAAUUCGUUGGCAAAUAUAUCAAGGGGGUUCUAAAUAAUGUUACAAAAAAUACAUUAAAUUAACUGAUAACUGUAAUCAGAUUUUUUUGAGGAGAAGCAGAUGAAAAUAACCACUAGUGCAUUAAUAAAAUAGUAGUUUGAGGAAAGCGUUAAAAGUAAAUUAAUUUUAGUUUCUGUUAGUGCUUUUAAGACCUUCUCUGUGCUACUAUACUUUGAGGUGUUCAUGAUUUGUAAGCAUUAGAGUGAACUCUUUAAAAAAGAAAUUAGCCAUGGUUUCUAUUAGUCCCCUCAAGAAUUUAAUUUCAUGUCUUUAGGAAGCACACAGUGAAACAGCUUCUAAAGCAGCAACUCCAAUUCUACGUACUUCCGUAGUCUUUGAAGUGCCACCACAUUUCAUCUCAGGGACGGAGGAGGUUUCUCGGGCAGUGCCCAACCUGGAUGCUGGCAUUGCCUGGUGUGCACGCCUGGCUGGGAUGGGCACUGGGGUGCAAUGGAGCGACCUCUGCAGAUGGCUCUGCUGGAGCAAAGCUUGAGCAGCUCCCUGCUGAAAGCUGUGGAAACCUAUCCGUCCUAUGCUGACGGUGAAGCUCCUGACUCCCAUGAUGUUGGAAAAGGAAGUGUGACUUUUAAAAAGAGUGCAGAGCUUCUGAUUCAAGCAUUCUGGGUUCGUUUGCCAAAAAAAAAAAAAGAAGAAGAAGAAGAAGAAGAAGAAGAACAAACAAAAGAAAAAAAAAUCUUCCUUUUAAUUAUUUUUUUUAUUUUUUUAGGUUUGUGCACAAGGCUAGUUUAAUUCCUUUUUCAGUUGUCCAACAAAACGAGAAGUAUCCAGAAAACAGCAAGACCUCGCCUGCGGGCUUGUUUCUCACAUUAGAUGCAUUCAAGCCCACGCUGCUGUACAGCUUGCUGUUGUGAAGCGAGAACUCAACGCUGCUGCAAGUUGUUACCAUGCAAAUGCUUCCACAUGGGCAACCACGCGUGCCAUGCACGAAGGCAGAAGGACGCUCCAAGUCCUGUAUCCUGCCCGCAGUGCCUCAGGCAUCCCGGCUGGAUUCAGCUCAUACCUGGAAUUCUUUCAAAGACCUGUAGAAGGCGAUAAGGAAAUCUACACACAUGCAUCAGUGACACGAUCUUUCGGCUGCUUCUCUGGGCGAGCAGUAAGCCUGAUGCGUGAAGUCUUCUGCAGGAACAGUGGUGGUCAAACAUUUGCUGCCUGUUUUCAUUUUUUUCUACUGAAUUUCUCAUGAUGCUAUAGGACUUGAAUUUAAGUUGCAUUGCUGUAAGGCUUGGCAUUAUUUUCCAUAGGAUAUGCGCUUUAAAAUGCAUCAAAUGAGGAGUUAGAUGUAAUAUGCCCACAGCAUCAGCAUGUCUCUCAAAAGACAGGUACUUUUCUGUACUUAAAUGCUGUUUUUUUCUGAAAGCAUUUCCAACCUGCGGUGUGUGGCUUUCCACCACCACCAAGCAGACCUCAGCCCAUACGAGCUUUGGGCCUGGUUGUCCUCAGAUAGAUCCUCCAGGUUCUCUGCUGAGUUUCUCCCACAGGUUUGCAGUUGGUUUGCUGUGGAAGGUUUCCUUUUUGACAGUUUUCCUGUUCAAAUGUAGCACAGAACACAGCAGAGGGGAAGGCCACGUUUGUGCUGUAAAUUCCACUUUGGUUCUACUCCGAGUAAAUCUUGGCCUUCAUUUUGAAAUACUGUGUACUUUUUUAUUCAGACUUCCUUUUGUAAAAGGCCAUCAAAAGCUGAAAGAUUACUGUCCCAUAGUACAAAGAGGGAUGCUGUUAGUCUGGCCAAGUAGCUAUCAAAAAUAUGCAGGAAAUACAACAUAAAUUCAUUUUUCUCCAAAUGUUUUCUACAGGCAGGAUCCCAGGCUAUUAGGUUAACUCCAGGGACUACAAAGACAAUAACUUGAACUAGAAGUCCCAGGACAGUAGCCAGGUUUCGUGUGGUCUUCAGGGACAGGAACAAAAAACCUAUCAAAAAUAAUAACUUCCCUUUUGCCAUUCGACACUGAGCCCCGCUGUCAGCUGGAUUUCAGAAUUUUUUAAGAAGCAGGAGAGGCAACCUCUUCUAUCUGAAAGGUCAUUAAACUGAUGACCAUUAAAAACUGAUUCUCAUCCAGAUUCAUUCAUAAUAUUAAUUUACAUAUUUUCAAGAAUGUGAAUUAGUCUGUGGGGACCUAGACUUGGAGAAAAAACAUACAAGUUACAGUAUCUGUUUUUGUCUUUUCAGUCCUCAAAAUGUUAAGACCAGUGUGUACUGAAGCAUAUUAAAAUUUUCAGCCAGUCUCCUGACUGAAGUUCGACUCUCCUCAAACGGGAGCUGAAUAUGGCUUCUGACCUUGCGGACAGGAUUAUCCCAUAACAGAGAAUGAUAGAAAACCCUUAAAAGUAUCCCCCUUCAGCUUCAAUUGCUAUCAUUAAAUAUUCAUUCCUUUAGUGUAUUGCCUAUCUUGUCUGACAGACUGCAGUAGGCACCCUUCAGUUCACUGGAUGUUUUUCUGGAGGUGCCUUCAGUUUUUGGCAGGGUGAAAUUGUUUCAAGCAGAAAAUAUGAGAGGGAAAAAUGAAAGGCGGGUAUUUUCCCUGACCCUUUAGGCUCUGUAGGUAUUUUUGCCCAAGUAUGAAUCAAUAUAUCAUAUAGAAAGAUCAACAGGAUUAUGGUUUCACAACAAAUUAAAAUAUAUUAUUAAUUUAAAUGUAAAAUGCAAAUAUUUUGAAUGAAGUUUUCUGUUUCCAUUAAG